GAGUUUGAUCGUGGCUCAGGAUGAACGCUGGCGGCGUGCCUAAUACAUGCAAGUCGAGCGAACGGACGAGAAGCUUGCUUCUCUGAUGUUAGCGGCGGACGGGUGAGUAACACGUGGAUAACCUACCUAUAAGACUGGGAUAACUUCGGGAAACCGGAGCUAAUACCGGAUAAUAUUUUGAACCGCAUGGUUCAAAAGUGAAAGACGGUCUUGCUGUCACUUAUAGAUGGAUCCGCGCUGCAUUAGCUAGUUGGUAAGGUAACGGCUUACCAAGGCAACGAUGCAUAGCCGACCUGAGAGGGUGAUCGGCCACACUGGAACUGAGACACGGUCCAGACUCCUACGGGAGGCAGCAGUAGGGAAUCUUCCGCAAUGGGCGAAAGCCUGACGGAGCAACGCCGCGUGAGUGAUGAAGGUCUUCGGAUCGUAAAACUCUGUUAUUAGGGAAGACAUAUGUGUAAGUAACUGUGCACAUCUUGACGGUACCUAAUCAGAAAGCCACGGCUAACUACGU
This 514-nucleotide ribosomal RNA is filed under the name uncultured microorganism. Its description in RNAcentral is "bacterial SSU rRNA". It matches the Rfam family "Bacterial small subunit ribosomal RNA", at positions 9 to 506 of the family's 1533-position model. The record is from RNAcentral.